Papaver somniferum (opium poppy) is the source of this 4140-nucleotide RNA transcript. It is a transcript of the gene named putative disease resistance protein RGA3, with no coding region annotated. The transcript has 3 exons. NCBI's taxonomy places the organism in Eukaryota, Viridiplantae, Streptophyta, Magnoliopsida, Ranunculales, Papaveraceae. The record is from RefSeq and is a predicted model, not a curated record.
UCCAGCAGCUCUCUUCUCUAAAAGUCGUCUUGUUCUCCAUUUUCUUGCUUUACCCCUACUUAAGAUCUGGUGUAUGUUUUCUGAGAGAGUUUCAUCCUAUUAUCAAUCAAAAGAAUAAAUGGCUCUUGAAUUUGUUACUGACCCUGCAGUGCAACCUUUAAUCAAAAAAUUGAUUUCGUAUUCUUUUUCGGAGGAGAUUAAUGUUUUUUGGGGUUUCAAGGGUGGGCCGACGAAGUUCUUUGAGUCUUUAAGAGUUAUUCAAGGUGUCUUAGAUGAUGCUGAAAGGAUGCAAUUGGAAGAUGACUCGAUAAAAUUAUGGUUGAGAGAACUCAAGGAUUUGGCUUAUGCCACUGAUGACAUUCUCGGUGAGCUUCAGUAUGAAGUUGUUCGUCGUAGAAUCGAAACACAAAGUGGGAUAAGAAGUAAGGUAUUUAACUUCUGUUCUUUUUCAAACCCAAUUUUAUUUCGUGUCAAGAAUACUUAUAAGAUUAGAAACAUCAAUCAUAUGUUCGAUGAAAGCACAAAGACGAUGAAGAAUUUCGAUUUUAGUGUUAAUAAUGUCAAAAGAGAAACACCAUGCUGUUCUACUUCUUCUAUGUCUUCGCUGUAUAACUAUGAAUCAAUCAUCGUUGGGAGGGAUGCAGAUAAAACUAAACUGAUAGACUUGUUAACUAAUAGCUCCAAGAAUAGUCACGGCAUAAAUGCUGUGAUUAAUAUUGUUGGGAUGGGAGGUGUUGGCAAAACAACACUUGCUAAAUUGGUCUAUAGUGAUGAGUCAAUAACCAAUCAUUUUAGUACAAAAUUCUGGGUCUGUGUUUCCGGAAGUUCUGACGAAAAGGAGAUUUACAUUAAGCUUUUCCAUUGCAUCAAGACAAACAGGAGUUACGAUGAGGAGACUUAUAACAAGCUCUCGGAAUCCAUCAAGAGAAACACAAGAGAUGGGGCCUUAAAGUUAGAAGAGAUGGUAAAUAUCUCGAAAGAGAUCCUUGAGACCAAGAGAUUUCUAUUAGUACUCGAUGAUGUCUGGUAUGACGGUCGCAUCAAUUGGGAGAAGGUGGUGAAAGGUCUUCUGUUGAUGGGUGUCGAUGGAAGUAAAAUUUUAAUGACCGCACGUCGUAGCGAGAUCCUUUCUAUAAUGGGUUCCAAAUAUACUUACAGGUUGCCAGUAUUACCUGUAGACGAAUGCUUUUUUUUGUUCAAAAGAAUUGCUUUUGGACAUGGAGGAACAGAGAAGUCCCUAAAUCUGGUCCAAAAAGGCCAAGACCUCAUGAAGAAGUGUGGAGGAUCGCCUCUUGCUGCAAAAGCUCUUGGGGGAUUGUUGCGCUCUAAAAAGUCCGAAGAAGACUGGAACCAUAUUUUGAACAACAAAAUAUGGAAUCUCCCCAACAACAAUGAAGAAAAGGUCAUCUGUAUAUUGAAGUUGUGUUACGAGAAUCUAUCAGUGAAUCUAAAACAGUGUUUCUCGUAUUGCUCAAUCUUCCCGAAGGACUACGUCAUUCAGAAAAAUAUGCUAAUCCAGUUGUGGAUGGCAGAAGGAUUCCUUUGUCCCUCGGGAGAAGCCAUAUCAAUGGAAAGCAUUGGUAAUAGAUAUUUCAGUAUUUUGCUGCAAAAUUCCUUCUUCCAAGAUGAAGUUAGAAAUGAGUGGGGAGAAGUAAAAUCGUGCAAAAUGCAUGAUCUUGUACAUGAUCUUGCAUUAUCUGUUUGUGGAAGCGAAUGUUCAACGGUGGAUGCUAAGUCCGUUCAGGAAGAAAAACUUACUAGGCUUCGCCGCAUAAGAUUGGUCGAUGAUUAUGACUCUCCAUUUCCCGAAGCAAUAUACAAAGCAAAGCAAACACGCACAUUUAUUUAUAACUCUCCACGGUCAGGACUUAAGGUUUCUGGGCACCACUUGGAUCAUAUCUUCUUGAACCUGCGAUGCUUGCGUGUCUUGGAUAUAAGUAACUCUGAGAUUUCAGAUUUACCACCAUCGAUAUGCAUGUUGAAGCAUGUAAGGUACCUUGAUUUUUCCCACACUAAGCUAACAACAUUUCCAAACUCUUUCACCUGUCUUUAUAAUUUGCAGACUUUAAGACUCAAGUACUGCGAUAGGCUUAAAGAUUUUCCUGAAGGCAUGGGUAAGCUUGUUAGUUUGAGACAUCUUAUAACCAGUCAAGAUGAAUCAGUUCUAAUGCCGAGGGAAGUAGGAAAAUUAAGUUGCCUCCAAACGUUAUCUGUUUUUGUUGUGGGCAAGGACAAUGGGUUUGGAGUUGAUGAGUUAAAAGAUCUUAAUCUUCUUGGAGGUAAACUGACGGUGCACAGUAUGGAGAACAUCAAAGAUGCAGAAGAUGCUAAGAGAGCAAAUCUAAAGGAGAAGAAAAACCUUCAAAACCUGGAACUUCUCUGGAAUAAUGAUAAUUGUGAUGCAAAUUACGAUAAUAAUGCAGUUUUAGAAGAUUUUCAACCGCCCCAAAAUCUUAAGAGGUUGGCAAUUUACAAUUUUCUAUCUGUAAAGUUCCCGUCAUGGAUGAGUACUGCUUCUUGUUUUCCAAAUUUGGUGUCAGUCAUUUUACAUGGUUGUCAUAAAAGUGAACGUCUUCCUACUUUGGGACAACUUCCAUUUCUUAAGUUUCUCGACAUUAAGGGACUUGAAGCCAUGAGACGUAUUGGUAGCGAAUUCUAUUGCAAUGCCGAAGCAGAAGCAACAAGAGUAGUCCCACCAAACACACCAUUCCAAUCUUUGGAAGAACUCAACCUACAUCAGAUGCCUAAUUUGGAAGAAUGGUCAGAAGCCAUGGAAAAAGUGUCAUCCUCAUCUAGUUUUCCUUGUCUCAAGAAGUUGCACAUUUAUGGUUGCCCGAAGUUAAGAACCACACCAACUCGAUUUCCAUGUCUCACUUAUUUGAGAUUUUGGAACAGCUGCGGCAUACCUUUGAAGUCUUUGCUGGAAAACAACUUAAAGAUCUUAACUUCAAUUGACAUCAGCGGUUCUGACGAGUUCUUGAAUUUACCUCACGAAUUACUCCGCGGAAAUGAACAUCUCAGGUCCUUGACAAUUUCGGAUUGUGAUAAGUUUGAAGAUUUCGGUUUAAAUCAAGAAGAAUCACUUUCAGACAUUUCUUAUAGUUAUCUGGAGUCCAUAAAUAUUUUUAUGUGCCCCACUUUAAGGUCUUUGCCAGAUUUUUCAGGGUUCAAUUAUGUCCAAAGGUUAAGUAUUGAAGACUGUCCAAACCUCAAGUCUUUACCUAAUGGUUUAUGUUACCUCCCAGCACUUGAGGAACUGAAAAUUGGUAAGCUUUCAGAUGACUUGGAGUAUCUCCCAUUCCCUUCCAUGAAAGAGGGAACCAGCAAUUUUUUCUCAUCGCUUCAUAUAUUAGAGAUUUGUGGCUGGACUGGCCUAGUAUCUCUCCCAGAGCAACUUCAGAAUCUUGUUUCAUUGCAGCGUCUUGUAUUAAGAGAUUUUUCUUCGUUGGAGAUUCUGCCUGAGUGGAUGGGCAACUUAGAUUCACUUCAGUGUUUGGGGAUAUAUUGUUGCAUGAAUCUGAAGUAUCUUCCUUCUCGAGAAGCGAUGUUUCGCCUCACUGCACUACGGAGCCUGACAGUCAAAGACUGUCCUCUUCUGGAGGACGGAUAUUCGACCCAGAAGGUAGUCCACAUUCCCGAAGUUUCUAUCGUUUGCAGCUAGUGCGACAAGUGAUAUUCUUUGGAUCGAGUAGGCUAUAUACAUGAAUACAUGCUCAGCUCAGGCUCAAUUUUGUUUGCAGUUGGUGGUGUUUCUCAAUCGGUAAAAUAUUUUUGCUUCCAUGGUUGUGACGAGCCAAGGACCAAGAAGGUAUCUUGGGUUAAUCGUACUAGCUGGAUCUCAGGGUCGGCAAGUGUAUUAUCAGUCUACAAGUCAUAAAGCUAUAUAUCAGAAUUUGUAGGAACAUGGAGCGCGCGACGUUUUACUUGGAAUGUAUCAACGAUUUCAGUCCUGUGUACUUUGUUGUAGCAGUAAAAUACACUCGGCUUCUGUGUGUGUUGCAUCUCUCUGUCAUGUAGGAAUUUUGUAAUAUAUUUGGUGCUCGGAUUGACUUCUCCUGCUUUGGCACGUUCCUAACUAUACGGCACUACAUACGGACCAAAACUAAAAAACAAUAUACUAAUCUAAGAUGAGAAGUAGAA